CGGGGUGCAGCAGGCGCGAAAACUUUACAAUGCUGGCAACAGCGAUAAGGGGACCUCGAGUGCCAGGAUACAAUCUUGGCUGUCGCGAUGCCUAAAAAGCAUUGCAUAGCAAGGGCCGGGCAAGACCGGUGCCAGCCGCCGCGGUAACACCGGCGGCUCGAGUGGUAACCGCUAUUAUUGGGUCUAAAGGGUCUGUAGCCGGCCGGAUAAGUCUUUUGGGAAAUCCAGCUGCUCAACAGUUGGGCUUUCAGAAGAUACUGUUCGGCUCGAGACCGGGAGAGGUGAGAGGUACUUCAGGGGUAGGGGUGAAAUCUUGUAAUCCUUGAAGGACCACCAGUGGCGAAGGCGUCUCACCAGAACGGAUCUGACGGCAAGGGACGAAAGCUAGGGGCACGAACCGGAUUAGAUACCCGGGUAGUCCUAGCCGUAAACGAUACUCGCUAGGUGUCAGCCACGGUGCGACCGUGGUUGGCGCCGUAGGGAAGCCGUGAAGCGAGCCACCUGGGAAGUACGGCCGCAAGGCUGAAACUUAAAGGAAUUGGCGGGGGAGCACAAGGGCGAAUGGCG
RNAcentral lists this ribosomal RNA (567 nucleotides) under uncultured archaeon. Its description in RNAcentral is "bacterial SSU rRNA". It matches the Rfam family "Archaeal small subunit ribosomal RNA", at positions 326 to 893 of the family's 1478-position model. The record is from RNAcentral.